GGGACAUCUGGUGGAGCAGAAUAGCUCUCUGUCUCAGUAAUUUAAGAGAAACUCAGAUGGAGACCGGUUGCCAUGGAAGCCUGGAUGUUGUCGGGUGCUUUAGGCAUUGAUGCCGUAGACGAAAAUCAUCUGUUGUCGAGACCCGGAUGGAAACUUUCUAUUGGAGAAAUUCGACUGGAGUCCGAUUGCUAGAGAAGUCCAUCUGGAAUUUGUUUGAUGUAAAAGCUAGUUUGAAGACUGUCUGUUAGAGAGGUCCGGUUGC
RNAcentral lists this long non-coding RNA (262 nucleotides) under Elaeis guineensis (African oil palm). RNAcentral's name for it is "long non-coding RNA (EGUI_LNC068823)". The record is from RNAcentral. Lineage: Eukaryota; Viridiplantae; Streptophyta; Magnoliopsida; Arecales; Arecaceae.